UACAGAGGGUGCAAGCGUUAAUCGGAAUUACUGGGCGUAAAGCGUGCGUAGACGGUUACAUAAGUCGGGUGUGAAAGCCCCGGGCUCAACCUGGGAAUUGCAUUCGAGACUGCGUAGCUAGGAUGCGGAAGAGGGAAGCGGAAUUUCCGGUGUAGCGGUGAAAUGCGUAGAUAUCGGAAGGAACACCAGUGGCGAAAGCGGCUUCCUGGUCCAGCAUCGACGUUCAGGCACGAAAGCUGGGGGAGCAAACAGG
This 253-nucleotide ribosomal RNA is filed under the name uncultured bacterium. Its description in RNAcentral is "partial 16S ribosomal RNA". It matches the Rfam family "Bacterial small subunit ribosomal RNA", at positions 524 to 776 of the family's 1533-position model. The record is from RNAcentral.